This 483-nucleotide ribosomal RNA is filed under the name uncultured bacterium. RNAcentral's name for it is "partial 16S ribosomal RNA". It matches the Rfam family "Bacterial small subunit ribosomal RNA", at positions 30 to 506 of the family's 1533-position model. The record is from RNAcentral.
AUUGAACGCUGGCGGCAUGCCUUACACAUGCCAGUCGAACGGCAGCGCGGGAGCAAUCCUGGCGGCGAGUGGCGAACGGGUGAGUAAUACAUCGGAACGUGCCCAAUCGUGGGGGAUAACGCAGCGAAAGCUGUGCUAAUACCGCAUACGAUCUACGGAUGAAAGCAGGGGAUCGCAAGACCUUGCGCGAAUGGAGCGGCCGAUGGCAGAUUAGGUAGUUGGUGAGGUAAAGGCUCACCAAGCCUUCGAUCUGUAGCUGGUCUGAGAGGACGACCAGCCACACUGGGACUGAGACACGGCCCAGACUCCUACGGGAGGCAGCAGUGGGGAAUUUUGGACAAUGGGCGAAAGCCUGAUCCAGCCAUGCCGCGUGCAGGAUGAAGGCCUUCGGGUUGUAAACUGCUUUUGUACGGAACGAAACGGUCUUUUCUAAUAAAGAAGGCUAAUGACGGUACCGUAAGAAUAAGCACCGGCUAACUACGG